MicroRNA precursor from Gossypium arboreum, 147 nucleotides. It matches the Rfam family "MIR7502 microRNA precursor family". Lineage: Eukaryota; Viridiplantae; Streptophyta; Magnoliopsida; Malvales; Malvaceae. The record is from Rfam.
UGUUAAAAACUUCAUCCACAUGUACUGUUAAAAACUAGCAUGUCUGAUAGAAUAACUAGAUAGUGACAUACGUGGCAUGCCAUAUUUAUCUUAUAUUGAUUUAAAGGGACCAAUUUUUAAUAGUAGAAAUAGAUAAAAUUUUUAACA